Molecule: long non-coding RNA, 2455 nt
Organism: Drosophila ficusphila
Lineage: Eukaryota; Metazoa; Arthropoda; Insecta; Diptera; Drosophilidae
Exons: 2
Source: RefSeq, a predicted model, not a curated record
UUUUUCGGUUUCUAAUGUAACUAAGUUAAAAAAAGUUUUUGCAUAUUUUUUCUAAAUCAAAAUAUUUUCUUACAUUUUAGUUAGUUAGUUAGUUUUGUCUACUGAAAAAUAAGUUAAGUGUCUGUUAAAGAAUUAAUACUGUGCUUCUUUGUGUUGGGCUUUCCAGCGUGUUGAUUGUAUUUAAAUGGCUCUUGGCUAUUUUUAGCCGCCCCUAAAGGUCACACCAACACAAUGGCACGGGCCGUAAGCCGUACUCUAUACUCCGUAAGCCCCGAAUCUGGGAUCCGUAAUCCGCGAUGACGAAUGACGAACGACUUAAACGUGCCCAAUUCGGUACUGGGGUCUUGCAUAAGUCUUGAGCUUGUUUUUGUUUUGGUUUCGGCAUUUAGCCGAUCUCUCGGUUUAAUUGCACUGCGGCACGUGCAUCUGGUGUCGCCUUGCACGGCGUUACGUAUACGCCCCGUUUGGAAAUUACCCAUACGCCCGGAUGGAGGGCACGUGCAAAGACACAAAAACUGGCUCGAGUUACUCAUGUGCCGUAUAAAGCCCCUCCCUCCGGGCAAUCUUAUCGGUCUUGUAAUAUAUUUUCUUGCUCACAUGGUCAGAUGUUUUUACAGUCACGUGUUGUUACUCGAAACUGUUACGUGGGUCCGUAAGUUUCCACGAAAUCAAAUUAAAUCGGCGCUGGAGUGCAACGCAACCAUCAAGGAAAGUUCUUAUUUUGCUCAGCAAAAUUUGAUUAAAUUAAGUUGAAAUAGUGUGACAGGUCGCAUGUACUUGUUUUCUACUUUUCUUAUAUGUUUUUCAGCAGCUUAUCUACCUAACUCACGGUGUACUUCAGUUUUCCCCGGUUGCAUGGCCAAAGUUUAAUCACGAAAGCUGUAGGAAAACCCCAACGACAACAAUUGCAACCGCCAGACCUGGUGAAACUAUUUCAAAGAUACUUUUGUUGGCAGACAUCUAGAAAAUCCACAGUGAAGUGGGACUUGUGAAUAAUGCAGUGGAAUGUUAAGUGGAAAUAAGCUAAAUAAACAAUGUAAACGGAAGCACUAUUGCUUAACACAGGGUGAUCAAUAAAUGAUUUAAAAGGUUACUCCACUGUGGCUUGAGUAACUCAUAUCAAAGAUUAUAACAACCACAAAUAAUCGUGAGGCAACGCACACCAACUCAUGCAAUUUGCACCUCCAAUUAGGACAGGUGCGAACGACAUUGGUGCGAUCAGCAGACCAACCAGAGCUAAUCGAAAAGGGGUGUGCGAUAGAUAGAGCGUGGCAUCAACAUCAGUCGUGAUUUAUCCUAAUUUGAUAUCACUAAAAAUAAAACAAAAAUGGAACUGAGUAUAAAACCAAAACAAAAUUCGAAUCUUAAUCAAAUCGUGCCCACCAAAUACAGUGAAAUAGCAAAAAUUCCUUAUCAGAAUGCGAAAUUUCAAUUUCAAAGUCGAGGAGAAAUCAAGAGCAAUAAAAUGGAAUCGAACAAAAAUAAAGAAACGCUCUGAUAAGGAUGAACUAACCCAAUAAAAAUAGAAAUAAAAACGAAAAUAAUCUGAAAUUAAACCGAAACAACAGAUUCAAGUGGAACGGGUCUGAGAGCUAUAAUAUAUUUGAACACAAAUUGCGAUUGUUGGCCGCUGCUGAUACUUCUAUCUGGCCAUUGUGACUGCGCUGCAUGUUGUUGUUAUGCAGAUUAGAAAUCUCGAGAAAUGUUUAUAAAAAGCCCGAGAACACAGGGACAGGGGCAACGACACGUGCGCUCGCAGCUGGACAAAUAAAAAAUUACUUUACAUACAUAGACGCGGACACACAACCUACUAUAUCUACUAUAUAUUCUUGUUUAUAGGUGAAUAGCAGCCGAGUCAUGGAAUAAAUGCAUGCACAGUGCCUGAAUUAAUUACUGAAUAGAUACAAACAUGGGGGAAAAUAUAAGUAAAACUCAGCUCCAAAUAAUUCAUUGACCCAAGGGUUUAAAUUUUAAUAUUACCCAUAUUUUUCCAUGAGCUUAAUAUUAUUAUGUCUCAUUUUUUAGUUCAAGAUAUAACAGAGUAGAAGAUUAAAGUGUAAUACCUGUAUUUUUUGUUUGUUUACAUGUUUAAUGACAUGUUUGUAGAUCGGAUUAAGAAGAAAGUCAGGUAGACGACGGAUAAAUCCUGGUAGACAACUGAAUAUAGAUAAGCAAUUAUAAAUCCAUCUUUGUAGACGGAAAUUUUUACUGCUUUGGUACAAGAUCCCAUUUUAAAAUUCCUUAAUGGUUGUUGUUUUUAAGUUAAGUAUAACUUGUCCUUCUAUAAAAGGUUGAAGAAGUUUGUCCAAAACAUUAUUAUUCAGACAUUAUUCACAGAAUACCGCUUUGGAACUCAAUAUGAAUUUAUAUUGGCUAUAAACAAAUUUAUCUUAAAUAAACAUUUUAACACUUGUAAUUCAAUAAUAUUCAAUAAAAUGUAAUUAACCUUAUCCAG